RNAcentral lists this ribosomal RNA (239 nucleotides) under uncultured bacterium. Its description in RNAcentral is "partial 16S ribosomal RNA". It matches the Rfam family "Bacterial small subunit ribosomal RNA", at positions 96 to 334 of the family's 1533-position model. The record is from RNAcentral.
UGGCGAACGGGUGAGUAACGCGUGAGGAACCUGCUCAAAGAGGGGGACAACAGUUGGAAACGACCGCUAAUACCGCAUAAGCCCACGGGUCGGCAUCGAUCUGAGGGAAAAGGAGUGAUCCGCUUUGAGAUGGCCUCGCGUCCGAUUAGCUAGUUGGUGAGGUAACGGCCCACCAAGGCGACGAUCGGUAGCCGGACUGAGAGGUUGAACGGCCACAUUGGGACUGAGACACGGCCCAG